RNAcentral lists this unclassified non-coding RNA (355 nucleotides) under soil metagenome. RNAcentral's name for it is "partial contains 5.8S ribosomal RNA, internal transcribed spacer 2, and large subunit ribosomal RNA". The stretch from base 1 to 120 matches the Rfam family "5.8S ribosomal RNA", at positions 35 to 154 of the family's 154-position model. The record is from RNAcentral.
GAUGAAGAACGUAGUGAAAUGCGAUAAGUAAUGUGAAUUGCAGAAUUCAGUGAAUCAUCGAUUCUUUGAACGCACAUUGCGCCCAUUAGUAUUCUAGUGGGCAUGCCUGUUCGAGCGUCAUUAAGUCCACUUAAGCCCUGCUUAGUGUUGGGAGACUGCUCCAGCGGUGCUACCCUGUAGCUACCCUGCAGCUCCUCAAAGACAGCGGCGGAGUUGUGGUAUCCUCUGAGCUUAGUAACUUGUUCUAGCUUUCGAGUACACCACUUCCCCUGCCGUAAAACCCUUAAUUUUUAAUGGUUGACCUCGGAUCAGGUAGGAAUACCCGCUGAACUUAAGCAUAUCAAUAAGCGGAGGA